UACCUGCAGCUCAAGUGGUGGCCGCUAUUAUUGGGCCUAAAACGUCCGUAGCCGGUUUAGUAAAUGCUUGGGUAAAUUGUGUAGCUUAACUAUACGAAUACCGGGUAGACUGCCAAACUUGGGACCGGGAGAGGCUAGAGGUACUCCUGGGGUAGAGGUGAAAUUCUGUAAUCCUAGGGGGACCACCAGUGGCGAAGGCGUCUAGCCAGAACGGGUCUGACGGUGAGGGACGAAGCCCUGGGGCGCAAACCGGAUUAGAUACCCGGGUAGUCCAGGGUGUAAACGCUGCUUGCUUGAUGUUAGUUGGGCUCCGAGCCCAACUAGUGUCGGAGAGAAGUUGUUAAGCAAGCUGCCUGGGAAGUACGGUCGCAAGACUGAAACUUAAAGGAAUUGGCGGGGAGCACAGCAACGGGUGGAGCGUGCGGUUU
Molecule: ribosomal RNA, 428 nt
Filed under: uncultured archaeon
Lineage: Archaea
Description: bacterial SSU rRNA
Rfam family: Archaeal small subunit ribosomal RNA
Source: RNAcentral